UCCUCCCUCAGGCUCCUUGUCUUCUCUUCCUCACUCUUCCUCACCCGCUGGACUCUGUUGUGUAAUGGUUUGUCAUUGGCUCCCUCUCUUCCUCCCUCCCUCCCUCCCUCCCUCUGCUCACUCUCUCUCUCAGGGAGGUCGGCCCUGCACUGGGCAUGCUCAGUAAACCACCUCACACUCGCUCGCACGCUCAUUCGUUACGGCGCCGCUGUGGACCUACAAGACAACAAGGGAGAGACCGCCCUCUUCCUCUCUGCCCUUCACGGCUGCUACGAAACCGCUCGACUUCUCCUCCUUCACGGCGCCAACAUGGAUCUGUGCGACCGCAGAGGGCGGCGCCCGAUGGACGUGGCUCGGGAGGGCGUGAACCAGCAGGUGCUGGAGCUUCUAUUGGCCCAUCAGAUCCAGAGAGGCCCCGUGCACACCGACGCCACCGCCACAGGGGACGUGGUGUGGGACGAGCGCGCUCUGAUGUUCUCCACCUGGGUCGGCGCUCAGGGCCUACCUGGGAGGAGCGCGUCCUUCUCCGGGAUCAUUGGCCAUCGGGACAUGGCUCCGCCUCCGCAGAGUGAUUGGCCGAUGGCACGCGUGCAGUAUCCCUCGCCUCAGAACUGGCGCCCUCAGCUCAACCAAUCAGCGACAGCGCUCGUCCCCCCGAGGGUCAUGGGCCGCUCGCCUCGGCCAAUCAGCACCCUGCAGGAGGUGACCUCGGAGGACGAGGACCGACACCAGGAGCCUCCCCGAGCCGCCACGCCUCACUUCCUGUUUCCUCAGCCCGCCCCUCGACAGCGCUCCUUCUCCUGCACCCAGCAUGCACUGCAGCGCCGCCCCGAGCCCAACUACCUCAUCGUCACGCACAGGUCGGCCGGCGAACCCACGGACAGGGCCGUGCCGUCGGCUCCGCAGGGCCCUGUCCCUCAGGUUGAACACCAGCCGCCCGCCAACGACCCUCCAUCUGCAUCCGCCACGGAGCAGAAAGCCAGAGGUGAAAGGUCAAACGAGUCUGCACAGACUGCCCUGUAGGAGGCGGAGCUUUAACCAACCAAUCCAAACAAUGAUCCAGAAAACAUCCCUAAUAUAAAUAUAUAAAUAAAUAAUUAAUCAAACAAAAACA
RNAcentral lists this long non-coding RNA (1114 nucleotides) under Gouania willdenowi (blunt-snouted clingfish). Its description in RNAcentral is "lncRNA (ENSGWIG00000011321.1)". The record is from RNAcentral. Lineage: Eukaryota; Metazoa; Chordata; Actinopteri; Blenniiformes; Gobiesocidae.